AACAAAAAGACUGGGUUUCUUGCUGACUUUAAAACAAUAUAGAGAAAAUUAGCACGGACCCCGUGCAAGGAUGACCCCAGAUUUGUUAAGUGUUCCAUGUUUUG
Meriones unguiculatus (Mongolian gerbil) is the source of this 104-nucleotide small nuclear RNA. NCBI's taxonomy places the organism in Eukaryota, Metazoa, Chordata, Mammalia, Rodentia, Muridae. The record is from Ensembl.